ACCUGUCAACAGAUGCAGUCACUCCAUCAUAGAUGGCCUCCAGAUUGCUCAGGCAUGAUUUACCCUUGGUGAAGCGAUGCUGGCUGUUCCAGAUCACCUCCUUGUCCUGCAUGUGCCUUCACAUUGCCUUCAGGAGGAUUUGUUCCAUGGUCUUGCCAGGUACAGAGGUGAGGCUCACUGCUCUGUAGAUCCCCAGGUCU
Molecule: long non-coding RNA, 200 nt
Organism: Oxyura jamaicensis (ruddy duck)
Lineage: Eukaryota; Metazoa; Chordata; Aves; Anseriformes; Anatidae
Exons: 3
Source: RefSeq, a predicted model, not a curated record